This 32-nucleotide non-coding RNA is filed under the name Geobacter sulfurreducens PCA. The record is from RNAcentral. Lineage: Bacteria; Pseudomonadati; Thermodesulfobacteriota; Desulfuromonadia; Geobacterales; Geobacteraceae.
CUGCCCGCCUGGGGCUUGAUCUCCAGCAGGCC